CCUACGGGUGACAGCAGUGGGGAAUAUUGGUCAAUGGACGAGAGUCUGAACCAGCAAAGUAGCGUGAAGGAUGACUGCCCUAUGAGUUGUAAACUUCUUUUAUAUGGGAGUAAAAUGUUCCACGUAUGGGAUUUUGUCUGUACCAUAUGAAUAAGGAUCGGCUGACUACGUGCCAGCAGCCGCGGUAAUACGGAGGAUCCGAGCGUUAUCCGGAUUUAUUGGGUUUAAAGGGAGCGUAGGUGGAUUGUUAAGUCAGUUGUGAAAGUUGGCGGAUUAACCGUAAAAUUGCAGUUGAAACUGGCAGUCUUGAGUACAGUAGAGGUAGGCGGAAUUCGUGGUGUAGCGGUGAAAUGCGUAGAUAUCACGAAGAACUCCGAUUGCGAAGGCAGCUCACUGGACUGCAACUGACACUGAGGCUCGAAAGUGUGGGUAUCAAACAGGAUUAGAUACCCGUGUAGUC
RNAcentral lists this ribosomal RNA (460 nucleotides) under uncultured bacterium. RNAcentral's name for it is "partial 16S ribosomal RNA". It matches the Rfam family "Bacterial small subunit ribosomal RNA", at positions 338 to 795 of the family's 1533-position model. The record is from RNAcentral.